Long non-coding RNA from Candoia aspera, 980 nucleotides. RefSeq lists it as uncharacterized. The transcript is spliced from 2 exons. NCBI's taxonomy places the organism in Eukaryota, Metazoa, Chordata, Lepidosauria, Squamata, Candoiidae. The record is from RefSeq and is a predicted model, not a curated record.
AGGAAAGGACCACAGAAGAGGGCAGAUGGUCCAACUUGACCAUCAUUUCCUCCAGAAAGAGAACAACUCUGUUUCCAGAGGGAAAAGCUUUAUGCAAGGCCCCAGCUUCAAAGCAUGUUGUGGCUAAAGGACAACUCAACUUCAGCUGAGGACUCCGCCACCCGCUGCCAUGUGUUAUCACAGCUGAGUCCCCCAAAUACCCUCAUCGGAAACAUGUCCGUUUUCAAUCCUGGCCAAGAUCUGAUAAGGCCCAUUGCAUCUGUUCCCCAUUAGAAGUUGCAAGCAUGUUUCUCCCUGUGUUUGCAGGAAGACCCCUUGCACUGGGCCAUGGUGCUCAGGCAAAAUCCCAUCUGGUGGACAUUAAUGGAAUGAUAACAUCUCUGUUUGGGAGGGUAGAAGGGUGUGCAUAUGUGUGUGCAUUUUUGUUUGGUUUUGGAAUUGCGUUUGACUGUUACACUGAUGGAAACCAUGAUAUGUAUCUCCCCCUCUCCCACCUCCAUCUUCCAACAGGCACUGGGCCAAAACUGGUUGGUGGGAUGCUCGUUGUUUUACAUGUUACCCUUCCUUUUCCUUCCAUUAAGUACCACCAGGGGCCUGAGAUUCAGGGUUGUGGGCCUGUUCUCUCUUUUAUUAGAUUCCAAAAGAUUGAGAAGAUGUUGGAGGGCCGAUCUUGCAUGGAUCCCAGAUUCAGUGGAAGGCGUCUUCCAAGACACUAGACUAUACAGUAUUAAUUGGUAGCUUGUGAAUAUAGUUUCUAUGAGUAUACUGUGUUGGGUGAACUCAGCGACUGAGUUUUGUUGGUCUGGAUUUAGCAUGCUAAGCAAACAAACCCAUGACAACCCAGAUCCUUUUUUCCCUUUAUCUUAACAUGAAGUAAAAAUGAAGAGACAUUUAGCUAGUGGAACACAUGCUCUGAACACAGUAUGUUCCAUUCUCAGCAACUCUAACUAAAAGUAUCAAUAAAGUAGAAAGGAAAAGAA